AUACGUAGGUGGCAAGCGUUGUCCGGAUUUACUGGGUGUAAAGGGCGUGUAGGCGGAGAUGCAAGUCAGGAGUGAAAUCUAGGGGCUCAACCCCUAAACUGCUUUUGAAACUGUAUCCCUUGAGUAUCGGAGAGGCAGGCGGAAUUCCUAGUGUAGCGGUGAAAUGCGUAGAUAUUAGGAGGAACACCAGUGGCGCAGGCGGCCUGCUGGACGGCAACUGACGCUGAGGCGCGAAAGCGUGGGGAGCAAACAGGAUUAGAUAACCUUGUAGUCCACGCUGUAAACGAUGAAUACUAGGUGUGGGGGGACUGACCCCCUCCGUGCCGCAGUUAACACAAUAAGUAUUCCACCUGGGGAGUACGAUCGCAAGAUUGAAACUCAAAUGAAUUGACGGGG
This 396-nucleotide ribosomal RNA is filed under the name uncultured bacterium. RNAcentral describes it as "partial 16S ribosomal RNA". It matches the Rfam family "Bacterial small subunit ribosomal RNA", at positions 523 to 918 of the family's 1533-position model. The record is from RNAcentral.